GGCAGACUUGGGAGAGCAUCUGAUGGUUCCAAGGGAAAUAUUUGUUGGGGAAAGAAAGGGGCACACAGGCCGGGUGACUUUCAGUCACAUGUGACCACAUGACGCCCACACAAACGGGUCUCUUGAGGCCAGAGCAGACAGGUUACCCCUGUUACCUCCAUCCUGGGUACAGCACCCCGUGGGGGUGGGAUCAAGCUGGGAGUGGGUGGGCAGAGCCCUCUCAGGUCAGCAGCCUCUUGGAUGAGGCCACAGAGCUGUAGUCUGUUAACAAGGCCAGAAGAUGCCUAUUUAUUCAUCCUACUUACUGACCCCGAAGCACUACCACUGACACCAUUACCACCAUGGACGGAGGUUUCAGCCUGCUCAGAUGACCAGAGCACUGGGGUGGCAGUCGGGAACACUUUUUACACUGAAACUGAUUUCUGGAGUAAGCAGUACAUACUCAUGCAAAAUUGUAAAGAUGCAAAAAGGAUGCAGAGAAAAAGCCCCACAGUCAAGAUCCCUUGACAUAUUCUUAGGAUCUUUAAAGGCAUCUGGACGUUACUCUAGUACCAGAAACUUGGUGAAGAAAAGAGGACGCCAGGCAAGGGUUGGGAGCCUGGAUAAGAGUUUGGGCUUUGGAAUCAAACAGACAAGAGCACAAACCACAGCUCCACAACAUGUGACCUUGGACAAGCACCUUUACCUCUUCUCUACAUGUUGGUUUCCCUCCUUGUAAUAUGGGAUGGAGACUAGUAACUGCCUCCUCUGCUGGUAAAUAAGAUACAAUCCAAAGGCACAGAGCACCUGGCCCAGAGAGAUUGCUUCGUAUCUGCUAUCCAGCAUGGCCAUCUGAUGGGGCCUGGACCUGGCUAAUUGUGGGCCCUGCUCCUCCCUCUGCCUGAGCCCCCAGCAGCUUCUCUGACCCAGCUGGAGGAAGAAGCUCUGAUGGGCAUCUCCUGUCCGUGCACAUCAAGUUAUUUCUAGUUGAUUUGUUAUUGUGGUUGUUGUGGUUGUUAUUUCUACUAAGAACAUUGAGCUAUGAAUAAACUGUGCAUUUUUCUUGAUGAAUGUGGAAAAGAGAUUCUCUAGGGUGUACAUAAUAAUAAUUAUAAUAAUAAACAACUGGAAAAAUAAGGGCAUUGAGUGCUCAGGAUGAAUGCCAUGGAGCUGGAACCUGGUCCUGGAGGUGUUCUGAGA
Molecule: long non-coding RNA, 1179 nt
Organism: Bos taurus (domestic cattle)
Lineage: Eukaryota; Metazoa; Chordata; Mammalia; Artiodactyla; Bovidae
Source: Ensembl